GAUGAAAAACGUAGCGAAAUGCGAUAAGUAAUGUGAAUUGCAGAAUUCAGUGAAUCAUCGAGUCUUUGAACGCACAUUGCGCCCCCUGGUAUUCCGGGGGGCAUGCCUGUCCGAGCGUCAUUGCUGCCCUCAAGCACGGCUUGUGUGUUGGGCCUCCGUCCUCCUCCCGGGGGACGGGCCCGAAAGGCAGCGGCGGCACCGCGUCCGGUCCUCGAGCGUAUGGGGCUUCGUCACCCGCUCUUGUAGGCCCGGCCGGCGCUUGCCGACACAUCAAUCUUUUUUCCAGGUUGACCUCGGAUCAGGUAGGGAUACCCGCUGAACUUAAGCAUAUCAAUAAGCGGAGGA
Molecule: unclassified non-coding RNA, 345 nt
Filed under: soil metagenome
Description: partial contains 5.8S ribosomal RNA, internal transcribed spacer 2, and large subunit ribosomal RNA
Rfam family: 5.8S ribosomal RNA (bases 1-120)
Source: RNAcentral